CAAAAAGUGACGGUUCAUGGAACCUGGGGAGAGGCAAAUCAGUCCCAACCAAGGGGAACAAGGAAAGGAGGAGACAGGCUGUAUUUACUGAAAGCCGCAGAGGAUGCUUGGUGUGGACAGCUCCAAUGGAAGCUCUCAUCACCUCUUACCUGAAUUAUUGCAACUGCUUCCUCACUGUUCUGUUUGUU
This is a long non-coding RNA of Lagenorhynchus albirostris (white-beaked dolphin), 188 nucleotides long. RefSeq lists it as uncharacterized. The record is from RefSeq and is a predicted model, not a curated record. The transcript has 3 exons. NCBI's taxonomy places the organism in Eukaryota, Metazoa, Chordata, Mammalia, Artiodactyla, Delphinidae.